This 400-nucleotide ribosomal RNA is filed under the name uncultured bacterium. Its description in RNAcentral is "bacterial SSU rRNA". It matches the Rfam family "Bacterial small subunit ribosomal RNA", at positions 355 to 771 of the family's 1533-position model. The record is from RNAcentral.
UAGGGAAUAUUGCACAAUGGGCGAAAGCCUGAUGCAGCAACGCCGCGUGCGCGAAGAAGGCCUUCGGGUCGUAAAGCGCUUUUUGGGGAGAUGAGGAAGGACAGUAUCCCCAGAAUAAGGCUCGGCUAACUACGUGCCAGCAGCCGCGGUAAAACGUAGGAGCCAAGCGUUAUCCGAAUUCACUGGGCGUAAAGCGCGUGCAGGCGGCUCGAUAAGUUGGAUGUGAAAGCUCCCGGCUCAACUGGGAGAGGCCGUUCAAUACUGUCGGGCUAGAGGGCGGCAGAGGGAGGUGGAAUUCCCGGUGUAGUGGUGAAAUGCGUAGAUAUCGGGAGGAACACCAGUGGCGAAGGCGGCCUUCUGGGCCGCACCUGACGCUCAGACGCGACAGCUAGGGGAGCGA